AAAUUGAAGAGUUUGAUCAUGGCUCAGAUUGAACGCUGGCGGCAGGCCUAACACAUGCAAGUCGAACGGUAACAGGAAACAGCUUGCUGUUUCGCUGACGAGUGGCGGACGGGUGAGUAAUGUCUGGGAAACUGCCUGAUGGAGGGGGAUAACUACUGGAAACGGUAGCUAAUACCGCAUAACGUCGCAAGACCAAAGAGGGGGACCUUCGGGCCUCUUGCCAUCGGAUGUGC
RNAcentral lists this ribosomal RNA (233 nucleotides) under Escherichia coli. RNAcentral's name for it is "partial 16S ribosomal RNA". It matches the Rfam family "Bacterial small subunit ribosomal RNA", at positions 1 to 230 of the family's 1533-position model. RNAcentral also lists the same sequence under 2 other names. The record is from RNAcentral. Lineage: Bacteria; Pseudomonadati; Pseudomonadota; Gammaproteobacteria; Enterobacterales; Enterobacteriaceae.